GGAAUUGGUUCUCUUACCUUCACAGGCUCCACAAUGGCUGGUCUGGCCAAUGAUUCCUCAACAACAGGAGCAGCAAUCUUGGUGAUUUUGGCUGAAUCCGGGGCAGCUUCUUCAUCAGCUACAUGUUCAUCUUGCUUCUUUGUUCUCAUAAACAGAUAAGCUCCGACAGCAAGGUUGACAGUCAAAAGCAUGGGCCAUAAGAACUUAUAUCGCCUAGCAAAUGAUUCCUUCGGAGGCUGCGGCGCUGAAGGAGAAGAAGACGGGGAUGCCAUGUUCGAUGAUGCUGGUGGCGCCGGUGAAGAAGAAGAAGCGUCUCUGACUUUGUGCUGUUCUUGAAAUUGUUUGACCUGGGCUUUCUUGGGUUUGUUGGCGUAGAGCUUGG
This 382-nucleotide unclassified non-coding RNA is filed under the name Hevea brasiliensis (rubber tree). The record is from RNAcentral. Lineage: Eukaryota; Viridiplantae; Streptophyta; Magnoliopsida; Malpighiales; Euphorbiaceae.